UUCAUUGGGUUUAAAGGGUGCGCAGGCGGAUUGGUAAGUCAGGGGUGAAAUCCCACAGCUCAACUGUGGAACUGCCUUUGAUACUGUCAGUCUAGAGUAUAGUUGAAGUUGGCGGAAUGUGUCAUGUAGCGGUGAAAUGCUUAGAUAUGACACAGAACACCGAUCGCGAAGGCAGCUAGCUAAGCUAUAACUGACGCUCAUGCACGAAAGCGUGGGGAUCAAACAGGAUUAGAUACCCUGGUAGUCCACGCUGUAAACGAUGAUUACUCGAUGUUGGCGAUACACAGUCAGCGUCUGAGCGAAAGCAAUAAGUAAUCCACCUGGGGAGUACGAUCGCAAGAUUGAAACUCAAAGGAAUUGACGGGGGCCCGCACAAGCGGAGGAGCAUGUGGUUUAAUUCGAUGAUACGCGAGGAACCUUACCUGGGCUCGAACGUAAGAUGACUGUAGGUGAAAGCUUACAUCUCUUCGGAGCAUUUUACGAGGUGCUGCAUGGUUGUCGUCAGCUCGUGCCGUGAGGUGUCGGGUUAAGUCCCAUAACGAGCGCAACCCCUACCUUUAGUUGCCAUCAGGUCAUGCUGGGGACUCUAAAGGAACUGCCUACGCAAGUAGUGAGGAAGGCGGGGAUGACGUCAAAUCAGCACGGCCCUUACGUCCAGGGCUACACACGUGCUACAAUGGCCGAUACAGAGGGCAGCUACCUGGUGACAGGAUGCAAAUCUCCAAAGUCGGUCUCAGUUCGGAUCGGAGUCUGCAACCCGACUCCGUGAAGUUGGAUUCGCUAGUAAUCGCGCAUCAGCCAUGGCGCGGUGAAUACGUUCCCGGGCCUUGUACACGCCGCCCGUCAAGCCAUGGAAGCUGGGGGGACCUAAAGUCGAUAACCGCAAGGAGUCGCCUAGGGUAAAACCAGUGACUGGGGCUAAGUCGUAACAAGGUAGCCG
RNAcentral lists this ribosomal RNA (940 nucleotides) under uncultured Lentimicrobium sp. RNAcentral describes it as "bacterial SSU rRNA". It matches the Rfam family "Bacterial small subunit ribosomal RNA", at positions 550 to 1502 of the family's 1533-position model. Lineage: Bacteria; Pseudomonadati; Bacteroidota; Bacteroidia; Bacteroidales; Lentimicrobiaceae. The record is from RNAcentral.